GGGAAACCGAGUCUUAACCGGGCGUUAAGUUGCAGGGUAUAGACCCGAAACCCGGUGAUCUAGCCAUGGGCAGGUUGAAGGUUGGGUAACACUAACUGGAGGACCGAACCGACUAAUGUUGAAAAAUUAGCGGAUGACCUGUGGCUGGGGGUGAAAGGCCAAUCAAACCGGGAGAUAGCUGGUUCUCCCCGAAAGCUAUUUAGGUAGCGCCUCGUGAAUUCAUCUCCGGGGGUAGAGCACUGUUUCGGCUAGGGGGCCAUCCCGGCUUACCAACCCGAUGCAAACUGCGAAUACCGGAGAAUGUUAUCACGGGAGACACACGGCGGGUGCUAACGUCCGUCGUGAAGAGGGAAACAACCCAGACCGCCAGCUAAGGUCCCAAAGUCAUGGUUAAGUGGGAAACGAUGUGGGAAGGCCCAGACAGCCAGGAUGUUGGCUUAGAAGCAGCCAUCAUUUAAAGAAAGCGUAAUAGCUCACUGGUCGAGUCGGCCUGCGCGGAAGAUGUAACGGGGCUAAACCAUGCACCGAAGCUGCGGCAGCGACACUCAGGUGUUGUUGGGUAGGGGAGCGUUCUGUAAGCCUGUGAAGGUGGCCUGUGAGGGUUGCUGGAGGUAUCAGAAGUGCGAAUGCUGACAUAAGUAACGAUAAAGCGGGUGAAAAGCCCGCUCGCCGGAAGACCAAGGGUUCCUGUCCAACGUUAAUCGGGGCAGGGUGAGUCGACCCCUAAGGCGAGGCCGAAAGGCGUAGUCGAUGGGAAACGGGUUAAUAUUCCCGUACUUGGUGUUACUGCGAAGGGGGGACGGAGAAGGCUAUGUUGGCCGGGCGACGGUU
Molecule: ribosomal RNA, 831 nt
Filed under: Salmonella enterica subsp. enterica serovar Javiana
Lineage: Bacteria; Pseudomonadati; Pseudomonadota; Gammaproteobacteria; Enterobacterales; Enterobacteriaceae
Description: partial 23S ribosomal RNA
Rfam family: Bacterial large subunit ribosomal RNA
Source: RNAcentral